GAUGAAGGGCGUGCUAAUCUGCGAUAAGCGCCGGUAAGGUGAUAUGAACCGUUAUAACCGGCGAUACCCGAAUGGGGAAACCCAGUGUGACUCGUCACACUAUCAUUAACUGAAUCCAUAGGUUAAUGAGGCGAACCGGGGGAACUGAAACAUCUAAGUACCCCGAGGAAAAGAAAUCAACCGAGAUUCCCCCAGUAGCGGCGAGCGAACGGGGAGGAGCCCAGAGCCUGAAUCAGCAUGUGUGUUAGUGGAAGCGUCUGGAAAGGCGCGCGAUACAGGGUGACAGCCCCGUACACAAAAGCGCAUGUGCUGUGAGCUCGAUGAGUAGGGCGGGACACGUGGUAUCCUGUCUGAAUAUGGGGGGACCAUCCUCCAAGGCUAAAUACUCCUGACUGACCGAUAGUGAACCAGUACCGUGAGGGAAAGGCGAAAAGAACCCCGGCGAGGGGAGUGAAAAAGAACCUGAAACCGUGUACGUACAAGCAGUGGGAGCACAGGUUUACCUGUGUGACUGCGUACCUUUUGUAUAAUGGGUCAGCGACUUAUAUUCUGUAGCAAGGUUAACCGAAUAGGGGAGCCGGAGGGAAACCGAGUCUUAAUUGGGCGUUAAGUUGCAGGGUAUAGACCCGAAACCCGGUGAUCUAGCCAUGGGCAGGUUGAAGGUUGGGUAACACUAACUGGAGGACCGAACCGACUAAUGUUGAAAAAUUAGCGGAUGACCUGUGGCUGGGGGUGAAAGGCCAAUCAAACCGGGAGAUAGCUGGUUCUCCCCGAAAGCUAUUUAGGUAGCGCCUCGUGAAUUCAUCUCCGGGGGUAGAGCACUGUUUCGGCUAGGGGGCCAUCCCGGCUUACCAACCCGAUGCAAACUGCGAAUACCGGAGAAUGUUAUCACGGGAGACACACGGCGGGUGCUAACGUCCGUCGUGAAGAGGGAAACAACCCAGACCGCCAGCUAAGGUCCCAAAGUCAUGGUUAAGUGGGAAACGAUGUGGGAAGGCCCAGACAGCCAGGAUGUUGGCUUAGAAGCAGCCAUCAUUUAAAGAAAGCGUAAUAGCUCACUGGUCGAGUCGGCCUGCGCGGAAGAUGUAACGGGGCUAAACCAUGCACCGAAGCUGCGGCAGCGACGCUGAUGCGUUGUUGGGUAGGGGAGCGUUCUGUAAGCCUGCGAAGGUGGCCUGUGAGGGUUGCUGGAGGUAUCAGAAGUGCGAAUGCUGACAUAAGUAACGAUAAAGCGGGUGAAAAGCCCGCUCGCCGGAAGACCAAGGGUUCCUGUCCAACGUUAAUCGGGGCAGGGUGAGUCGACCCCUAAGGCGAGGCCGAAAGGCGUAGUCGAUGGGAAACGGGUUAAUAUUCCCGUACUUGGUGUUACUGCGAAGGGGGGACGGAGAAGGCUAUGUUGGCCGGGCGACGGUUGUCCCGGUUUAAGCGUGUAGGUGUGUGUUCCAGGUAAAUCCGGUUCACUUUAACACUGAGGCGUGAUGACGAGGCACUACGGUGCUGAAGCAACAAAUGCCCUGCUUCCAGGAAAAGCCUCUAAGCAUCAGGUAACAUCAAAUCGUACCCCAAACCGACACAGGUGGUCAGGUAGAGAAUACCAAGGCGCUUGAGAGAACUCGGGUGAAGGAACUAGGCAAAAUGGUGCCGUAACUUCGGGAGAAGGCACGCUGACACGUAGGUGAAGUGAUUUACUCAUGGAGCUGAAGUCAGUCGAAGAUACCAGCUGGCUGCAACUGUUUAUUAAAAACACAGCACUGUGCAAACACGAAAGUGGACGUAUACGGUGUGACGCCUGCCCGGUGCCGGAAGGUUAAUUGAUGGGGUCAGCGCAAGCGAAGCUCCUGAUCGAAGCCCCGGUAAACGGCGGCCGUAACUAUAACGGUCCUAAGGUAGCGAAAUUCCUUGUCGGGUAAGUUCCGACCUGCACGAAUGGCGUAAUGAUGGCCAGGCUGUCUCCACCCGAGACUCAGUGAAAUUGAACUCGCUGUGAAGAUGCAGUGUACCCGCGGCAAGACGGAAAGACCCCGUGAACCUUUACUAUAGCUUGACACUGAACAUUGAGCCUUGAUGUGUAGGAUAGGUGGGAGGCUUUGAAGUGUGGACGCCAGUCUGCAUGGAGCCGACCUUGAAAUACCACCCUUUAAUGUUUGAUGUUCUAACGUGGACCCGUGAUCCGGGUUGCGGACAGUGUCUGGUGGGUAGUUUGACUGGGGCGGUCUCCUCCUAAAGAGUAACGGAGGAGCACGAAGGUUGGCUAAUCCUGGUCGGACAUCAGGAGGUUAGUGCAAUGGCAUAAGCCAGCUUGACUGCGAGCGUGACGGCGCGAGCAGGUGCGAAAGCAGGUCAUAGUGAUCCGGUGGUUCUGAAUGGAAGGGCCAUCGCUCAACGGAUAAAAGGUACUCCGGGGAUAACAGGCUGAUACCGCCCAAGAGUUCAUAUCGACGGCGGUGUUUGGCACCUCGAUGUCGGCUCAUCACAUCCUGGGGCUGAAGUAGGUCCCAAGGGUAUGGCUGUUCGCCAUUUAAAGUGGUACGCGAGCUGGGUUUAGAACGUCGUGAGACAGUUCGGUCCCUAUCUGCCGUGGGCGCUGGAGAACUGAGGGGGGCUGCUCCUAGUACGAGAGGACCGGAGUGGACGCAUCACUGGUGUUCGGGUUGUCAUGCCAAUGGCACUGCCCGGUAGCUAAAUGCGGAAGAGAUAAGUGCUGAAAGCAUCUAAGCACGAAACUUGCCCCGA
This 2733-nucleotide ribosomal RNA is filed under the name Salmonella enterica subsp. enterica serovar Chester. Its description in RNAcentral is "partial 23S ribosomal RNA". It matches the Rfam family "Bacterial large subunit ribosomal RNA". Lineage: Bacteria; Pseudomonadati; Pseudomonadota; Gammaproteobacteria; Enterobacterales; Enterobacteriaceae. The record is from RNAcentral.